UAGCGGCGAGUGAGCGGCAAGAGCUCAGAUUUGAAAUCGUGUUUCGGCACGAGUUGUAGAGUGUAGGCGGGAGUCUCUGUGGAGCGCGGUGUCCAAGUCCCUUGGAACAGGGUGCCUGAGAGGGUGAGAGCCCCGUAGGGUGCUGCGCGAAGCUUUUGAGGCCCUGCUGACGAGUCGAGUUGUUUGGGAAUGCAGCUCCAAGCGGGUGGUAAAUUCCAUCUAAGGCUAAAUAUUGGCGAGAGACCGAUAGCGAACAAGUACUGUGAAGGAAAGAUGAAAAGCACUUUGAAAAGAGAGUGAAACAGCACGUGAAAUUGUUGAAAGGGAAGGGUAUUGGGCUCGACAUGGGGGGUGCGCACCGCUGUCUCUUGUAGGCGGCGCUCUGGGCGCCCUCUGGGCCAGCAUCGGUUCCUGCUGCGGGAGAAGGGGCUCCGGAAAGUGGCUCUUCGGAGUGUUAUAGCCGGGGCCAGAUGCCGCGUGUGGGGACCGAGGACUGCGGCUUCUGUCUCGGAUGCUGGCAUAACGGCGCAAUACCGCCCGUCUUGA
This 546-nucleotide ribosomal RNA is filed under the name Pichia manshurica. RNAcentral describes it as "partial large subunit ribosomal RNA". It matches the Rfam family "Eukaryotic large subunit ribosomal RNA", at positions 84 to 657 of the family's 3401-position model. The record is from RNAcentral. RNAcentral also lists the same sequence under 1 other name. Lineage: Eukaryota; Fungi; Ascomycota; Pichiomycetes; Pichiales; Pichiaceae.